This 500-nucleotide ribosomal RNA is filed under the name uncultured Glomeromycotina. RNAcentral describes it as "partial small subunit ribosomal RNA". It matches the Rfam family "Eukaryotic small subunit ribosomal RNA", at positions 591 to 1092 of the family's 1831-position model. The record is from RNAcentral. Lineage: Eukaryota; Fungi; Glomeromycota.
CCAAUAGCGUAUAUUAAAGUUGUUGCAGUUAAAAAGCUCGUAGUUGAAUUUCGGGGUCAGUAGGUUGGUCGUGCCACUGGUAUGUACUGGUCUCACUGAUUCCUCCUUCCUGAUGAGCCGUAAUGCCAUUAAUUUGGUGUUGCGGGGAAUCUGGACUGUUACUUUGAAAAAAUUAGAGUGUUUAAAGCAGGCUAACGCUUGAAUACAUUAGCAUGGAAUAAUGAAAUAGGACGUUCGAUCCUAUUUUGUUGGUUUCUAGGAUUGACGUAAUGAUUAAUAGGGAUAGUUGGGGGCAUUAGUAUUCAAUUGUCAGAGGUGAAAUUCUUGGAUUUAUUGAAGACUAACUACUGCGAAAGCAUUUGCCAAGGAUGUUUUCAUUAAUCAAGAACGAAAGUUAGGGGAUCGAAGACGAUCAGAUACCGUCGUAGUCUUAACCAUAAACUAUGCCGACUAGGGAUCGGAUGAUGUUAAUUUUUUAAUGACUCAUUCGGCGCCUUACG